CGGAUUGAUACUAAGCCAUGCGAGUCUUUGUAGUAAUACAAGGCAGACGGCUCAGUAACACGUAGUCAACCUACCCUAUGGACGAGAAUAAUCUCGGGAAACUGAGCAUAAUUCUUGAUAGAUCAUAAUGCCUGGAAUGGUUUAUGGUUAAAAUGAUUCGUCGCCAUAGGAUGGGACUGCGGCCUAUCAGCUUGUUGGUGAGGUAAUGGCCCACCAAGGCGAUUACAGGUACGGGCUCUGAGAGGAGAAGCCCGGAGAUGGGUACUGAGACACGGACCCAGGCCCUAUGGGGCGCAGCAGGCGAGAAAACUUUGCAAUGUGCGAAAGCACGACAAGGUUAAUCCGAGUGAUUUCUGCUAAAGAAAUCUUUUGCCAGUCGUAAAACCGCUGGUGAAUAAGGGGUGGGCAAGUUCUGGUGUCAGCCGCCGCGGUAAAACCAGCACCUCAAGUGGUCAGGAUGAUUAUUGGGCCUAAAGCAUCCGUAGCCGGCUUUGUAAGUUUUCGGUUAAAUCCAUGUGCUCAACGCAUGGGCUGCCGAAAAUACUGCAUAGCUAGGGAGUGGAAGAGGUAGACGGUACUCAGUAGGUAGGGGUAAAAUCCUUUGAUCUAUUGAUGACCACCUGUGGCGAAGGCGGUCUACCAGAACACGUUCGACGGUGUGGGAUGAAAGCUGGGGGAGCAAACCGGAUUAGAUACCCGGGUAGUCCCAGCUGUAAACGAUGCAGACUCGAUGAUGCAUUGGCAUAAUAGCCAUUGCAGUGUCGCAGGGAAGCCGUUAAGUCUGCCGCCUGGGAAGUACGUACGCAAGUAUGAAACUUAAAGGAAUUGGCGGGGGAGCACCACAAGGGGUGAAGCCUGCGGUUCAAUUGGAUUCAACGCCGGG
RNAcentral lists this ribosomal RNA (883 nucleotides) under uncultured archaeon. RNAcentral's name for it is "bacterial SSU rRNA". It matches the Rfam family "Archaeal small subunit ribosomal RNA", at positions 34 to 922 of the family's 1478-position model. The record is from RNAcentral.